RNAcentral lists this ribosomal RNA (301 nucleotides) under uncultured bacterium. RNAcentral describes it as "partial 16S ribosomal RNA". It matches the Rfam family "Bacterial small subunit ribosomal RNA", at positions 509 to 807 of the family's 1533-position model. The record is from RNAcentral.
CAGCAGCCGCGGGAAUACGGAGGGUGCGAGCGUUAUCCGGAUUCACUGGGUUUAAAGGGUGCGCAGGCGGGCUUGUAAGUCAGCGGUGAAAUCUGGGGGCUCAACCCCCAAACUGCCGUUGAUACUACGGGCCUUGGAUGCCGCUGAGGACAGCGGAAUGGGGCAUGUAGCGGUGAAAUGCAUAGAUAUGCCCCGGAACACCGAUUGCGAAGGCAGCUGUCUAAAGGGUUAUCGACGCUGAGGCACGAAAGCGUGGGUAGCGAACAGGAUUAGAUACCCCAGUAGUCCCUGUCUCUUAUAC